AAGGUAGCGAAAUUCCUUGUCGGGUAAGUUCCGACCCGCACGAAAGGCGUAACGAUUUGGGCACUGUCUCAACAAUAGACUCGGUGAAAUUGUAAUCCCGGUGAAGAUGCCGGGUACCUGCGACAGGACGGAAAGACCCCAUGGAGCUUUACUGUAGCUUGACGUUGGGUCUUGGUACUACAUGUACAGGAUAGGUGGGAGACUAUGAAGCAUGGACGCCAGUCUGUGUGGAGUCAUCCUUGGGAUACCACCCUUGUAGUACUGGGAUCCUAACCAUAGGCCUUGAAUCAGGUCUUGGAACACCGUCAGGUGGGCAGUUUGACUGGGGCGGUCGCCUCCUAAAAAGUAACGGAGGCGCUCAAAGGUUUCCUCAGCACGGUCGGAAAUCGUGCGAAGAGUGUAAAGGCAAAAAGGAAGCUUGAUUGCAAGACAUACAGGUCGAGCAAGGACGAAAGUCGGACUUAGUGAUCCGGUGGUACCGUAUGGAAGGG
This 491-nucleotide ribosomal RNA is filed under the name uncultured bacterium. RNAcentral describes it as "bacterial LSU rRNA". It matches the Rfam family "Bacterial large subunit ribosomal RNA", at positions 1953 to 2441 of the family's 2925-position model. The record is from RNAcentral.